This 457-nucleotide long non-coding RNA is filed under the name Androctonus crassicauda. The record is from RNAcentral. Lineage: Eukaryota; Metazoa; Arthropoda; Arachnida; Scorpiones; Buthidae.
GUUAUUGGUGGAGGGUGGAGGUUCCUCUUUUCGCUCCCUGUACAUGGAACGAUCGCCUUCCCUUCGGUUCAUAAGGGUCACACGACACUCACUGAAGACCAGAUUAUCGUUUUUGUUUUUUUCUAACCGUCUUCUUUGAUAGUCGGAUGAGAGGGGCGAUGGGCGAGCACAAAGCUAGCAUACAUCAUUAUCAAAGAUCGAACCGUCCACUUCAUAUCUUAAUGAUCAGAAUUUUCCCGCACGUCCAACACUAAUGUCGUACCGCCGACAGAUGCACACUGUACUGAGUCUCCUUCAAGGCCAAUCCACCGCAUCGCAUCCAAAAAUAACACAUCCUGGUAUUUUAAGAUGGUCGCUUGCAGUCUUUACCAAGAAUUCGUCCACAUCCAGCCAAAUGUUUCGGAGAUACAGAAAUAUUUUGACCAGAUUUUGCUUCGCUUUUGCACAAACCACUUCG